GACGAACGCUGGCGGCGUGCUUAACACAUGCAAGUCGAACGAAGAGCGAUGGAAGCUUGCUUCUAUCAAUCUUAGUGGCGAACGGGUGAGUAACGCGUAAUCAACCUGCCCUUCAGAGGGGGACAACAGUUGGAAACGACUGCUAAUACCGCAUACGAUCUAAUCUCGGCAUCGAGGAUAGAUGAAAGGUGGCCCCUACAUGUAAGCUAUCACUGAAGGAGGGGAUUGCGUCUGAUUAGCUAGUUGGAGGGGUAACGGCCCACCAAGGCGAUGAUCAGUAGCCGGUCUGAGAGGAUGAACGGCCACAUUGGGACUGAGACACGGCCCAGACUCCUACGGGAGGCAGCAGUGGGGAAUCUUCCGCAAUGGACGAAAGUCUGACGGAGCAACGCCGCGUGAGUGAUGACGGCCUUCGGGUUGUAAAGCUCUGUUAAUCGGGACGAAAGGCCUUCUUGCGAAUAGUGAGAAGGAUUGACGGUACCGGAAGAGAAAGCCACGGCUAACUACGUG
RNAcentral lists this ribosomal RNA (510 nucleotides) under uncultured bacterium. RNAcentral's name for it is "partial 16S ribosomal RNA". It matches the Rfam family "Bacterial small subunit ribosomal RNA", at positions 28 to 507 of the family's 1533-position model. The record is from RNAcentral.